Molecule: transfer RNA, 72 nt
Filed under: Camelus bactrianus (Bactrian camel)
Lineage: Eukaryota; Metazoa; Chordata; Mammalia; Artiodactyla; Camelidae
Also listed under: 2 other names
Rfam family: tRNA
About the family: Transfer RNA (tRNA) molecules are approximately 80 nucleotides in length. Their secondary structure includes four short double-helical elements and three loops (D, anti-codon, and T loops).
Source: Rfam by way of RNAcentral
GAGGGUAUAGCUUAGUGGUAGAGCACAUGCUUAGCAUGCACGAGGUCCUAGGUUCAAUUCCCAGUACUUCCA